UGAAUAACCCUAUACCUUCCAAUUUGAAAUCAGAAGCAAAAAAGGCUGCCAAAAUAUUAAGAGAAUUCACAGAAAUAACUUCCAGAAAUGGACCUGAUAAGAUCAUUCCUGCUCACGUAAUUGCAAAGGCUAAAGGCCUUGCAAUUCUGUCUGUGAUCAAAGCCGGGUUCCUGGUGACUGCCAGAGGAGGCAGCGGGAUUGUAGUGGCGCGCCUUCCAGAUGGAAAGUGGUCUGCACCCUCAGCCAUUGGGAUAGCUGGCCUUGGUGGGGGAUUUGAAAUAGGAAUUGAGGUAUCAGACUUGGUGAUAAUUCUGAAUUAUGACCGUGCUGUAGAAGCUUUUGCAAAAGGUGGAAAUCUAACCCUUGGAGGGAACUUGACUGUGGCGGUUGGGCCCUUGGGAAGGAACUUGGAAGGAAAUGUGGCCCUGAGAAACUCCGAUGCCGUCUUCACCUACUGCAAGUCGAGGGGACUCUUUGCAGGCGUGUCUUUAGAAGGGAGCUGUUUGAUUGAAAG
This 514-nucleotide small RNA is filed under the name Pongo abelii (Sumatran orangutan). RNAcentral describes it as "processed transcript". Lineage: Eukaryota; Metazoa; Chordata; Mammalia; Primates; Hominidae. The record is from RNAcentral.